This 643-nucleotide ribosomal RNA is filed under the name Fusarium concolor. RNAcentral's name for it is "eukaryotic LSU rRNA". It matches the Rfam family "Eukaryotic large subunit ribosomal RNA", at positions 1 to 654 of the family's 3401-position model. The record is from RNAcentral. Lineage: Eukaryota; Fungi; Ascomycota; Sordariomycetes; Hypocreales; Nectriaceae.
AACUUCUGAAUGUUGACCUCGGAUCAGGUAGGAAUACCCGCUGAACUUAAGCAUAUCAAUAAGCGGAGGAAAAGAAACCAACAGGGAUUGCCCUAGUAACGGCGAGUGAAGCGGCAACAGCUCAAAUUUGAAAUCUGGCUCUCGGGCCCGAGUUGUAAUUUGUAGAGGAUGCUUUUGAUGCGGUGCCUUCCGAGUUCCCUGGAACGGGACGCCAUAGAGGGUGAGAGCCCCGUCUGGUUGGAUGCCAAAUCUCUGUAAAGCUCCUUCAACGAGUCGAGUAGUUUGGGAAUGCUGCUCUAAAUGGGAGGUAUAUGUCUUCUAAAGCUAAAUACCGGCCAGAGACCGAUAGCGCACAAGUAGAGUGAUCGAAAGAUGAAAAGCACUUUGAAAAGAGAGUUAAAAAGUACGUGAAAUUGUUGAAAGGGAAGCGUUUAUGACCAGACUUGGGCUUGUUUAAUCAUCCGGGCUUCUGCCCGGUGCACUUGUUCAGCUCAGGCCAGCAUCAGUUUUCCCCGGGGGAUAAAGGCGGCGGGAAUGUGGCUCUCUUCGGGGAGUGUUAUAGCCCACCGUGUAAUACCCUGGGGGGGACUGAGGUUCGCGCAUCUGCAAGGAUGCUGGCGUAAUGGUCAUCAACGACCCGUCU